This 459-nucleotide ribosomal RNA is filed under the name uncultured bacterium. RNAcentral's name for it is "partial 16S ribosomal RNA". It matches the Rfam family "Bacterial small subunit ribosomal RNA", at positions 338 to 795 of the family's 1533-position model. The record is from RNAcentral.
CCUACGGGAGGCAGCAGUGAGGAAUAUUGGUCAAUGGGCGAGAGCCUGAACCAGCAAAGUAGCGUGAAGGAUGACAGCCCUAUGGGUUGUAAACUUCUUUUAUAAGGGAAUAAAGUGCCCCACGUGUGGGGUUUUGUAUGUACCUUAUGAAUAACCAUCGGCUAAUUCCGUGCCAGCAGCGCAGGUAAUCAGGAGGUGGCGAGCGUUAUCCGGAUUUAUUGGGUUUAAGGGGAGGGUAGGCGGUUUCAUAAGGCAGCGGUAAAAUCGGGCGGCUCAACCGUACCGUGCCGUUGAAACUGUGGGACUUGAGUAUGCGAAGGGUACGUGGAAUUCGUGGUGUAGCGGUGAAAUGCUUAGAUAUCACGAAGAACUCCGAUCGCGAAGGCAGUGUACCGGAGCAAAACUGACGCUGAGGCUCGAAAGUGUGGGUAUCAAACAGGAUUAGAUACCCCAGUAGUC